CCUACGGGGGGCAGCAGUCGAGAAUCAUUCACAAUGGGGGAAACCCUGAUGGUGCGACGCCGCGUGGGGGAAUGAAGGUCUUCGGAUUGUAAACCCCUGUCAUGUGGGAGCAAAUUAAAAAGAUAGUACCACAAGAGGAAGAGACGGCUAACUCUGUGCCAGCAGCCGCGGUAAUACAGAGGUCUCAAGCGUUGUUCGGAAUCACUGGUCGUAAAGCGUGCGUAGGCUGUUUCGUAAGUCGUGUGUGAAAGGCGCGGGCUCAACCCGCGGACGGCACAUGAUACUGGGAGACUAGAGUAAUGGAGGGGGAAGCGGAAUUCUCGGUGUAGCAGUGAAAUGCGUAGAUAUCGAGAGGAACACUCGUGGCGAAGGCGGGUCACUGGACAUUAACUGACGCUGAGGCACGAAGGCCAGGGGAGCGAAAGGGAUUAGAUACCCUAGUAGUC
Molecule: ribosomal RNA, 446 nt
Filed under: uncultured bacterium
Lineage: Bacteria
Description: partial 16S ribosomal RNA
Rfam family: Bacterial small subunit ribosomal RNA
Source: RNAcentral